RNAcentral lists this long non-coding RNA (697 nucleotides) under Olea europaea (common olive). RNAcentral's name for it is "long non-coding RNA (OEUR_LNC005012)". Lineage: Eukaryota; Viridiplantae; Streptophyta; Magnoliopsida; Lamiales; Oleaceae. The record is from RNAcentral.
AGCUGAUGGAAAAAGUCUUGAAGACACCAACUUGAUGAGUUGAGGAGUAUGUUUGUCAUCCUGUUCAAAUUUUCUUAAGAGUAAAUGUGUAAAAUCUUUCUAUGUUAUGUUAUGUUGAUAAUUGUUGUGAAGUUCAUAUUAUUGUUGUUAAUAAUCAUUAAAAACAGCGUACUGUUAAUAAUUGUUAAGAAAUGAACGCUUGUACACAAGAAAAAUCACUUAGGUCCCAAAUAUACACAGAAAAUAACAUAAAAUGAAAUUCACGUAAAGCAAAAAGUUAAAAGAGAUAAAAGGGUGUGUUAAAACAUCAAGCUUGUUGGCCCCAGGUUGCCCAGUUAGCCUCACUCCGUGAAGUUCAUAUUAUUGUUGUUAAUAAUCAUUAAAAACAGCGUACUGUUAAUAAUUGUUAAGAAAUGAACGCUUGUACACAAGAAAAAUCACUUAGGUCCCAAAUAUACACAGAAAAUAACAUAAAAUGAAAUUCACGUAAAGCAAAAAGUUAAAAGAGAUAAAAGGGUGUGUUAAAACAUCAAGCUUGUUGGCCCCAGGUUGCCCAGUUAGCCUCACUCCCAACCCUUGGCAUGCUAUUAACUUUAGAAUAGGCAUCAACCAUGAAAUUGGCUCCGCACAUGGCUCCUUCACUGUCAAUUCUGGGCAUGGCUUUCAGUUUGUUCAUUGGAUGCUCAAAGCUCAUCAA